CGAGGAUUCGCCAAGAUGGUAAUGCAGCGGAAUUUGACUCCGCCAGUGCUGAAUAAGCGAUCGCAGGUUCGAGCCCUGCAUCCUCGGCCA
Molecule: transfer RNA, 90 nt
Filed under: Caudoviricetes sp.
Lineage: Duplodnaviria; Heunggongvirae; Uroviricota; Caudoviricetes
Description: tRNA-Gln
Rfam family: tRNA
About the family: Transfer RNA (tRNA) molecules are approximately 80 nucleotides in length. Their secondary structure includes four short double-helical elements and three loops (D, anti-codon, and T loops).
Source: RNAcentral